UAAGGAAUUUAAACUAUUUGCCCUAGAUUACAUAGCUAGUUAGAGGGGAAACCAGUAUUCAAAAUUUAGUUGGGCUGUCUCAAAAGAAAAUGCCUGUUCCAUAGCAUGUCCUAUACAACACAGAGGUGGCACAAUAACAGGCAAUGUAGAAGUGUCUCAGUGUGAAAGAAGGGAAGGGAGAAAAUGGGGGUAGAAUUUUCUGGAAAAGAAACAGAAGGCAAACUGAAGAAAAAGUAAUUUAAAAAUUUAUUGGGCUACUUUUAUUUCUAGUCAUAAAAAUGGAAAGUAUCAAAACUCAGGAAACUUUCUUAUAGUCUUGGUAAGUAUGAAUCAAAAAGUGAAGAGUAAUGAUUCAAGGGGAUAUUGGAAGUACCAGCGAAAAUAUAGCACCUGACCAGCUAAGCCAGAAAUUCCAAGGUGAAAAAAAUCUAAACUAGAUAAGCAGGCUACCAGCAAAUGUUAGAUGAGCUGUUUGAAAGGCGAAUGGAAGGCAGAAGGAAACUGACGCCUACCUGCCUAUGUCCAGCCUAGUUUUGUAUCUGGUCUUCUUGUAUCUUCCAUGUUAAACACAACAGAGUAUUACAGCAGAAUAAAAAUAUCUUAUGACAUGU
This 611-nucleotide long non-coding RNA is filed under the name Homo sapiens (human). Its description in RNAcentral is "long non-coding RNA NONHSAT230456". Lineage: Eukaryota; Metazoa; Chordata; Mammalia; Primates; Hominidae. The record is from RNAcentral.